This 896-nucleotide ribosomal RNA is filed under the name uncultured bacterium. RNAcentral describes it as "bacterial SSU rRNA". It matches the Rfam family "Bacterial small subunit ribosomal RNA", at positions 1 to 913 of the family's 1533-position model. The record is from RNAcentral.
CCCUUAGAGUUUGAUCCUGGCUCAGAACGAACGCUGGCGGUAUGCCUAACACAUGCAAGUCGAACGUGAAGCUCCUCUUCGGAGGAGUGGAAAGUGGCGCACGGGUGAGUAACGCGUAGAUAAUCUGCCCUUGAAUCUGGGAUAACCCUGUGAAAGCGGGGCUAAUACCGGAUAAUACUUUUUAUCGAGUGAUAGGAAGUUGAAAGAUUUAUUGUUCAAGGAUGAGUCUGCGUCCCAUUAGCUAGUUGGUGAGGUAAAGGCCCACCAAGGCGACGAUGGGUAGCGGGUCUGAGAGGAUGAUCCGUCACACUGGCACUGAGACACGGGCCAGACUCCUACGGGAGGCAGCAGUGGGGAAUUUUGCGCAAUGGGCGAAAGCCUGACGCAGCAAUACCGCGUGAGUGAAGAAGGACUUCGGUUCGUAAAGCUCUUUAUCUCAGGGAAGAUAAUGACGGUACCUGAGGAAUAAGCACCGGCUAACUACGUGCCAGCAGCCGCGGUAAUACGUAGGGUGCGAGCGUUGUUCGGAAUUACUGGGCGUAAAGGGUGUGUAGGCGGAUUGGUAAGCUAGAGGUGAAAGGCCAGGGCUCAACCCUGGGACUGCUUCUGGAACUGCCAAUCUAGAGAGGGUCAGGGGCCAGCGGAAUUCCUGGUGUAGAGGUGAAAUUCGUAGAUAUCAGGAGGAACACCGGCGGCGAAAGCGGCUGGCUGGGGCCACUCUGACGCUGAGGCACGAAAGCGUGGGGAGCAAACGGGAUUAGAUACCCCGGUAGUCCACGCUGUAAACGAUGGAUACUAGAUGUUCGAGGGAAUCGACCCCCUUGAGUGUCGCAGCUAACGCAUUAAGUAUCCCGCCUGGGGAGUACGGUCGCAAGACUAAAACUCAAAGGAAUUGA